UAACUGGUAGAGAACGUGAAGGAUAACGUUGCUUUAGCAACGGCCCGAAGGGCGAGGCGAAGCCGAGUCAUCCUGCACGACCCACCA
Molecule: small RNA, 87 nt
Filed under: Salmonella enterica
Lineage: Bacteria; Pseudomonadati; Pseudomonadota; Gammaproteobacteria; Enterobacterales; Enterobacteriaceae
Also listed under: 1 other name
Description: partial RtT sRNA
Rfam family: RtT RNA
About the family: This family represents a bacterial cis-regulatory element known as RtT RNA. The exact function of RtT is unknown although it is thought that it may be involved in changing the cellular response in relation to amino acid starvation.
Source: RNAcentral